This 254-nucleotide long non-coding RNA is filed under the name Elaeis guineensis (African oil palm). RNAcentral describes it as "long non-coding RNA (EGUI_LNC035471)". Lineage: Eukaryota; Viridiplantae; Streptophyta; Magnoliopsida; Arecales; Arecaceae. The record is from RNAcentral.
UCAAGAUCCAUGCUUUGUUACUCAAUCUUUUCCUCCAGUUUUGGAUGGCAGAUAUAGUCACAAUAAUUAUUUCUGGCUUCGGCGUCCCCUAUCGUGCCAGUAAAUCGAUCUUGCGAUGGGAGGACUUAACAAGCUUCGAUAUAGUCUUUUUUUAUGAAGAUUUUGACCAGAUCCUAGAAACAAUUGAGGUAAACACCGGUCAGUUCAUCUUUAAAGUCUUUAUUAAGAUUAAUUAUGUGUUAGAACAGGAACCA